GGGUUAGUGGUCUAGUGGUAUGAUUCUCGCUUAGGGUGCGAGAGGUCCUGGGUUCAAUUCCUGGCUAACCCC
RNAcentral lists this transfer RNA (72 nucleotides) under Hofstenia miamia. Its description in RNAcentral is "tRNA-Pro for anticodon AGG". It matches the Rfam family "tRNA". Rfam says of the family: Transfer RNA (tRNA) molecules are approximately 80 nucleotides in length. Their secondary structure includes four short double-helical elements and three loops (D, anti-codon, and T loops). The record is from RNAcentral. Lineage: Eukaryota; Metazoa; Xenacoelomorpha; Acoela; Hofsteniidae.